CGUCUCCGUUAAUGAUUUUAGGUGCUUGCACUUGAAAGAUUUAACAUUGAGACGAGUGGCGAACUGGUGAGUAACACGUGGGUAACCUGCCCUUGAAGUAGGGGAUAACACUUGGAAACAGGUGCUAAUACCGUAUAACAACCAAAACCACCUGGUUUUGGUUUAAAAGACGGCUUCGGCUGUCACUUUAGGAUGGACCCGCGGCGUAUUAGCUUGUUGGUAAGGUAACGGCUUACCAAGGCGAUGAUACGUAGCCGACCUGAGAGGGUAAUCGGCCACAUUGGGACUGAGACACGGCCCAAACUCCUACGGGAGGCAGCAGUAGGGAAUCUUCCACAAUGGACGAAAGUCUGAUGGAGCAACGCCGCGUGAGUGAUGAAGGGUUUCGGCUCGUAAAACUCUGUUGUUGGAGAAGAACAGGUGUCAGAGUAACUGU
RNAcentral lists this ribosomal RNA (436 nucleotides) under Lentilactobacillus buchneri. Its description in RNAcentral is "bacterial SSU rRNA". It matches the Rfam family "Bacterial small subunit ribosomal RNA", at positions 43 to 469 of the family's 1533-position model. Lineage: Bacteria; Bacillati; Bacillota; Bacilli; Lactobacillales; Lactobacillaceae. The record is from RNAcentral.